Long non-coding RNA from Spinacia oleracea (spinach), 686 nucleotides. RefSeq lists it as uncharacterized. The transcript is spliced from 5 exons. The record is from RefSeq and is a predicted model, not a curated record. Lineage: Eukaryota; Viridiplantae; Streptophyta; Magnoliopsida; Caryophyllales; Amaranthaceae.
AGAGAAAAAUUCAAUCACACAUCUUGCUCAAAAGUGCCGAAAAUUCUAGUACCUUAAGGGCGAUUCUAGUUGGUCAAUCUUAAGGCGGAUCCGGACGUGCUGUGGACUAUCUACGGAGGGACGACACUUGGAGUCCUAAAGACUUGUUCUUGCUCGGUUCGGGCGCAGCUAGGGAGGGCACGCAACAAAGACGAGUUUCAAUUUAUUCAUGAGUUAUGCCUGUAUGUGCUAUCAGCAUCCCAGAGGACUGAGUUGAUACGGGCUACUCUGUCUACACUUCAUGCAUUCCUUUCAUGGAUUCCGUUGGGAUAUAUUUUUGAAUCCCCUCUGCUGGAAACUCUUUUGAAAUUCUUUUCUGUUCCAGCAUAUCGAAAUCUUACCCUCCAGUGUUUGUCUGAGGUUGCAGCACUGACAUUUGGUGAAUUCUACAAUGCCCAAUAUGUGAAGAUGUGCAACGUAUUCAUGGUUCAGUUACAGGUUUUGCAAAACGAGAUCACAAAAAACAAGCUCCAAGAAGAAGUUGGAUUUUUUUGUCCGCAUAAGCUAGCGCUGGUUAAAUUUCGUCCCAGUGUGCACACAAAAUAUGUGAAUCAUUCAAUUACCAAGCAAAGUACGAAGAAGUAUAUACUUGCCCUGAUCCGUCAAGAGUAAGUACAUUAAUAUAACUUAUUGAUUAUAAUGCUUAA